RNAcentral lists this ribosomal RNA (468 nucleotides) under uncultured bacterium. RNAcentral's name for it is "partial 16S ribosomal RNA". It matches the Rfam family "Bacterial small subunit ribosomal RNA", at positions 28 to 507 of the family's 1533-position model. The record is from RNAcentral.
GACGAACGCUGGCGGCGUGCUUAACACAUGCAAGUCGAACGGAAAGGCCCUGCUUUUGUGGGGUGCUCGAGUGGCGAACGGGUGAGUAACACGUGAGUAACCUGCCCUUGACUUUGGGAGAACUUCAGGAAACUGGGGCUCAUACCGGAUAGGAUCUCCUGCUGCAUGGUGGGGGUUGGAAAGUUUCGGCGGUUGGGGAUGGACUCGCGGCUAAUCAGCUUGUUGGUGAGGUAGUGGCUUACCAAGGCUUUGACGGGUAGCCGGCCUGAGAGGGUGACCGGCGACCAUAGGACUGAGAUACGGCCCAGUCUCGAACGGGACGCAGCGGUGGGGAAUAUUGCACAGUGGGCGGAAGCCUGAUGCGGCAACGCCGCGUGCGGGAUGACGGCCUUCGGGUUGUGAACCGCUUUCGCCUGUGACGAAGCGUGAGUGACGGUAAUGGGUAAAGAAGCACCGGCUAACUACGUG